RNAcentral lists this ribosomal RNA (507 nucleotides) under uncultured bacterium. RNAcentral's name for it is "partial 16S ribosomal RNA". It matches the Rfam family "Bacterial small subunit ribosomal RNA", at positions 28 to 507 of the family's 1533-position model. The record is from RNAcentral.
GACGAACGCUGGCGGCGUGCCUAAUACAUGCAAGUCGAACGCAUUUUCUUUCACCGUAGCUUGCUACACCGAAAGAAAAUGAGUGGCGAACGGGUGAGUAACACGUGGGUAACCUGCCCAUCAGCGGGGGAUAACACUUGGAAACAGGUGCUAAUACCGCAUAAUUCCAUUUACCGCAUGGUAGAUGGAUGAAAGGCGCUUUUGCGUCACUGAUGGAUGGACCCGCGGUGCAUUAGCUGGUUGGUGGGGUAACGGCCUACCAAGGCUGCGAUGCAUAGCCGACCUGAGAGGGUGAUCGGCCACACUGGGACUGAGACACGGCCCAGACUCCUACGGGAGGCAGCAGUAGGGAAUCUUCGGCAAUGGACACAAGUCUGACCGAGCAACGCCGCGUGAGUGAAGAAGGUUUUCGGAUCGUAAAACUCUGUUGUUAGAGAAGAACAAGGAUGAGAGUGGAAAGUUCAUCCCUUGACGGUAUCUAACCAGAAAGCCACGGCUAACUACGUG